This 497-nucleotide ribosomal RNA is filed under the name uncultured bacterium. RNAcentral describes it as "partial 16S ribosomal RNA". It matches the Rfam family "Bacterial small subunit ribosomal RNA", at positions 28 to 507 of the family's 1533-position model. The record is from RNAcentral.
GACGAACGCUGGCGGCGUGCCUAAUACAUGCAAGUUGAGCGCUGAAGGUUGGUACUUGUACCAACUGGAUGAGCAGCGCACGGGUGAGUAACGCGUGGGGAAUCUGCCUUUGAGCGGGGGACAACAUUUGGAAACGAAUGCUAAUACCGCAUAAAAACUUUAAACACAAGUUUUAAGUUUGAAAGAUGCAAUUGCAUCACUCAAAGAUGACCCCUCGUUGUAUUAGCUAGUUGGUGCGGUAAAGGCUCACCAAGGCGAUGUUACAUAGCCGACCUGAGAGGGUGAUCGGCCACAUUGGGACUGAGACACGGCCCAAACUCCUACGGGAGGCAGCAGUAGGGAAUCUUCGGCAAUGGGCGGAAGUCUGACCGAGCUACGCCGCGUGAGUGAAGAAGGUUUUCGGAUCGUAAAACUCUGUUGGUGGAGAAGAACGUUGGUGAGAGUGGAAAGCUCAUCAAGUGACGGUAACUACCCAGAAAGCGACGGCUAACUACGUG